RNAcentral lists this ribosomal RNA (564 nucleotides) under uncultured bacterium. Its description in RNAcentral is "bacterial SSU rRNA". It matches the Rfam family "Bacterial small subunit ribosomal RNA", at positions 363 to 917 of the family's 1533-position model. The record is from RNAcentral.
UUUUCGCAAUGGGGGGAACCCUGNCGAACAACGCCGCGUGGAGGAUGAAGGCCUUCGGGUCGUAAACUCCUGUCGACCGGGACGAAAGCUGAGUGGCCCAAUACGCCACCCAGCCGACUGUACCGGUGGAGGAAGCCACGGCUAACUCUGUGCCAGCAGCCGCGGUAAUACAGAGGUGGCAAGCGUUGUUCGGAAUUACUGGGCGUAAAGGGCGCGUAGGCGGCCGUGUAAGUCCCGUGUGAAAUCCCUCGGCUCAACNUGGGGAAUUGCACAGGAUACUGCGCGGCNUUGAGUUCGGGAGAGGGAAGCGGAAUUCCGGGUGUAGCGGUGAAAUGCGUAGAUAUCCGGAGGAACACCGGUGGCGAAGGCGGCUUCCUGGACCGACACUGACGCUGAGGCGCGAAAGCUAGGGGAGCAAACGGGAUUAGAUACCCCGGUAGUCCUAGCUGUAAACGAUGAGUGCUGGGUGUAGGGGGUCCUAACCCCCCUGUGCCGAAGCUAACGCAUUAAGCACUCCGCCUGGGGAGUACGGUCGCAAGGCUGAAACUCAAAAGAAUUGACGGA